This 691-nucleotide ribosomal RNA is filed under the name uncultured Eubacterium sp. Its description in RNAcentral is "bacterial SSU rRNA". It matches the Rfam family "Bacterial small subunit ribosomal RNA", at positions 8 to 683 of the family's 1533-position model. Lineage: Bacteria; Bacillati; Bacillota; Clostridia; Eubacteriales; Eubacteriaceae. The record is from RNAcentral.
AGAGUUUGAUUAUGGCUCAGGAUGAACGCUGGCGGCAUGCCUAAUACAUGCAAGUCGAACGAGAGGAAGGAAAGCUUGCUUUUCUGAAUCUAGUGGCGACCGGGUGAGUAACACGUAGGUAACCUGCCCAUGUGCCCGGGAUAACUUCUGGAAACGGAUGCUAAAACCGGAUAGGUAGCAGACAAGCAUUUGACUGCUAUUAAAGUGGCCUUGGCCAUGAACAUGGAUGGACCUGCGGUGCAUUAGCUGGUUGGUGAGGUAACGGCCCACCAAGGCGACGAUGCAUAGCCGGCCUGAGAGGGCGGACGGCCACAUUGGGACUGAGACACGGCCCAAACUCCUACGGGAGGCAGCAGUAGGGAAUUUUCGUCAAUGGGGGGAACCCUGAACGAGCAAUGCCGCGUGAGUGAGGAAGGUCUUCGGAUCGUAAAGCUCUGUUGUAAGAGAAAAACGGCACUCAUAGGGAAUGAUGAGUGAGUGAUGGUAUCUUACCAGAAAGUCACGGCUAACUACGUGCCAGCAGCCGCGGUAAUACGUAGGUGGCGAGCGUUAUCCGGAAUGAUUGGGCGUAAAGGGUGCGUAGGUGGCAGAUCAAGUCUGGAGUAAAAGGUAUAGGCUCAACCCGUACUGGCUCUGGAAACUGAUCAGCUAGAGAACAGAAGAGGACGGCGGAACUCCAUGUGUAGCGGUG